RNAcentral lists this transfer RNA (88 nucleotides) under Rhizoctonia solani. It matches the Rfam family "tRNA". From Rfam's summary of the family: Transfer RNA (tRNA) molecules are approximately 80 nucleotides in length. Their secondary structure includes four short double-helical elements and three loops (D, anti-codon, and T loops). The record is from Rfam by way of RNAcentral. Lineage: Eukaryota; Fungi; Basidiomycota; Agaricomycetes; Cantharellales; Ceratobasidiaceae.
GGUCGCAUAGUCUAGUGGUUAUGAUAUCUGCUUUACACGAUUAUCGCGUGAACGCAGAGGGUCGCAAGUUCGAGCCUUGCUGCGACCA